AACGAACGCUGGCGGCAUGCCUAACACAUGCAAGUCGAACGAGACCUUCGGGUCUAGUGGCGCACGGGUGCGUAACGCGUGGGAACCUGCCCUUAGGUUCGGAAUAACUCCCCGAAAGGGGUGCUAAUACCGGAUAAUGUCUUCGGACCAAAGAUUUAUCGCCUUUGGAUGGGCCCGCGUUGGAUUAGCUAGUUGGUAGGGUAAAAGCCUACCAAGGCGACGAUCCAUAGCUGGUCUGAGAGGAUGAUCAGCACACUGGGACUGAGACACGGCCCAGACUCCUACGGGAGGCAGCAGUGGGGAAUAUUGGACAAUGGGCGGAAGCCUGAUCCAGCAAUGCCGCGUGAGUGAUGAAGGCCUUAGGGUUGUAAAGCUCUUUUACCCGGGAUGAUAAUGACAGUACCGGGAGAAUAAGCUCCGGCUAACUCCGUG
Molecule: ribosomal RNA, 432 nt
Filed under: uncultured bacterium
Lineage: Bacteria
Description: partial 16S ribosomal RNA
Rfam family: Bacterial small subunit ribosomal RNA
Source: RNAcentral